RNAcentral lists this ribosomal RNA (263 nucleotides) under uncultured Anaerolineaceae bacterium. RNAcentral describes it as "partial 16S ribosomal RNA". It matches the Rfam family "Bacterial small subunit ribosomal RNA", at positions 1104 to 1378 of the family's 1533-position model. The record is from RNAcentral. Lineage: Bacteria; Bacillati; Chloroflexota; Anaerolineae; Anaerolineales; Anaerolineaceae.
CGUUUGUGUGUUACAAGUGUCACACAAUACCGCCGGUAUUAAGUCGGAGGAAGGUGCGGAUGACGUCAAGUCAGCAUGACCUUUAUAUCCAGGGCUACACACACGCUACAAUGGUCAGCACAAUAGGUUGCCAAGUCGUGAGACGGAGCCAAUCCUCCAAGCUGGCCUCAGUUCAGAUUGUAGGCUGCAACCCGCCUGCAUGAAGUUGGAGUUGCUAGUAACCGCAGGUCAGCUAUACUGCGGUGAAUACGUUCCCGGGGAUU